Molecule: ribosomal RNA, 404 nt
Filed under: uncultured bacterium
Lineage: Bacteria
Description: bacterial SSU rRNA
Rfam family: Bacterial small subunit ribosomal RNA
Source: RNAcentral
UGAGGAAUAUUGGACAAUGGGCGAAAGCCUGAUCCAGCCAUGCCGCGUGAGUGACGAAGGCCUUAGGGUUGUAAAGCUCUUUCAGAUGCGAAGAUAAUGACGGUAACAUCAGAAGAAGCUCCGGCUAAAUUCGUGCCAGCAGCCGCGGUAAUACGAAUGGAGCAAGCGUUGUUCGGAAUCACUGGGCGUAAAGCGUGCGUAGGCGGUUAUUUAAGUCAGAAGUGAAAUCCCGGGGCUCAACCUCGGAAUUGCUUUUGAAACUGGAUAGCUAGAGUCCCGGAGAGGUUAGCGGAAUUCCGAGUGUAGCAGUGAAAUGCGUAGAUAUUCGGAGGAACACCAAUGGCGUAGGCAGCUAACUGGACGGGUACUGACGCUGAGGUACGAAAGCGUGGGGAGCAAACAGG